RNAcentral lists this ribosomal RNA (253 nucleotides) under uncultured bacterium. RNAcentral describes it as "partial 16S ribosomal RNA". It matches the Rfam family "Bacterial small subunit ribosomal RNA", at positions 524 to 776 of the family's 1533-position model. The record is from RNAcentral.
UACGUAGGGCGCGAGCGUUGUCCGGAAUUAUUGGGCGUAAAGAGCUCGUAGGCGGCUUGUCGCGUCGGAUGUGAAAGCCCGGGGCUUAACUCCGGGUCUGCAUUCGAUACGGGCAGGCUAGAGUUCGGUAGGGGAGAUCGGAAUUCCUGGUGUAGCGGUGAAAUGCGCAGAUAUCAGGAGGAACACCGGUGGCGAAGGCGGAUCUCUGGGCCGAUACUGACGCUGAGACGCGAAAGCGUGGGUAGCAAACAGG